GGUGGCGUGCCUAAUACAUGCAAGUCGAGCGAGCGGAACUAACAGAUUUACUUCGGUAAUGACGUUAGGAAAGCGAGCGGCGGAUGGGUGAGUAACACGUGGGGAACCUGCCCCAUAGUCUGGGAUACCACUUGGAAACAGGUGCUAAUACCGGAUAAGAAAGCAGAUCGCAUGAUCAGCUUUUAAAAGGCGGCGUAAGCUGUCGCUAUGGGAUGGCCCCGCGGUGCAUUAGCUAGUUGGUAAGGUAAAGGCUUACCAAGGCGAUGAUGCAUAGCCGAGUUGAGAGACUGAUCGGCCACAUUGGGACUGAGACACGGCCCAAACUCCUACGGGAGGCAGCAGUAGGGAAUCUUCCACAAUGGACGCAAGUCUGAUGGAGCAACGCCGCGUGAGUGAAGAAGGUUUUCGGAUCGUAAAGCUCUGUUGUUGGUGAAGAAGGAUAGAGGUAGUAACUGGCCUUUAUUUGACGGUAAUCAACCAGAAAGUCACGGCUAACUACGUGCCAGCAGCCGCGGUAAUACGUAGGUGGCAAGCGUUGUCCGGAUUUAUUGGGCGUAAAGCGAGCGCAGGCGGAAGAAUAAGUCUGAUGUGAAAGCCCUCGGCUUAACCGAGGAACUGCAUCGGAAACUGUUUUUCUUGAGUGCAGAAGAGGAGAGUGGAACUCCAUGUGUAGCGGUGGAAUGCGUAGAUAUAUGGAAGAACACCAGUGGCGAAGGCGGCUCUCUGGUCUGCAACUGACGCUGAGGCUCGAAAGCAUGGGUAGCGAACAGGAUUAGAUACCCUGGUAGUCCAUGCCGUAAACGAUGAGUGCUAAGUGUUGGGAGGUUUCCGCCUCUCAGUGCUGCAGAUAACGCAUUAAGCACUCCGCCUGGGGAGUACGACCGCAAGGUUGAAACUCAAAGGAAUUGACGGGGGCCCGCACAAGCGGUGGAGCAUGUGGUUUAAUUCGAAGCAACGCGAAGAACCUUACCAGGUCUUGACAUCUAGUGUCAUUUGUAGAGAUACAAAGUUCCCUUCGGGGACGCUAAGACAGGUGGUGCAUGGCUGUCGUCAGCUCGUGUCGUGAGAUGUUGGGUUAAGUCCCGCAACGAGCGCAACCCUUGUUAUUAGUUGCCAGCAUUAAGUUGGGCACUCUAAUGAGACUGCCGGUGACAAACCGGAGGAAGGUGGGGAUGACGUCAAGUCAUCAUGCCCCUUAUGACCUGGGCUACACACGUGCUACAAUGGGCAGUACAACGAGAAGCGAGCCUGCGAAGGCAAGCGAAUCUCUGAAAGCUGUUCUCAGUUCGGACUGCAGUCUGCAACUCGACUGCACGAAGCUGGAAUCGCUAGUAAUCGCGGAUCAGCACGCCGCGGUGAAUACGUUCCCGGGCCUUGUACACACCGCCCGUCACACCAUGGGAGUCCGCAAUGCCCAAAGCCGGUGGCCUAACCUUCGGGAAGGAGCCGUCUAAGGCAGGGCAGAUGACUGGGGUGAAGUC
This 1481-nucleotide ribosomal RNA is filed under the name uncultured organism. RNAcentral describes it as "16S ribosomal RNA". It matches the Rfam family "Bacterial small subunit ribosomal RNA". The record is from RNAcentral.